This 786-nucleotide long non-coding RNA is filed under the name Medicago truncatula (barrel medic). RNAcentral's name for it is "long non-coding RNA (MTRU_LNC004394)". The record is from RNAcentral. Lineage: Eukaryota; Viridiplantae; Streptophyta; Magnoliopsida; Fabales; Fabaceae.
GUAAGUUGAAAUUUUCUAUUAUUUUUCCAUUGCAUUAGAAAAUGGAAGAAGGAAAGUUGGUUGGAGUAAAAUUUAGAGGAAUAUGUAAGAUUAACCGAUGAAUCUAUUAUAUGAAAUUAGAAAACACUUGCUUGUUGAAGCUAUGAUCGUUAACCGAUUCUAAUUUCAUUAAGUAAAUGUGUUCUAAUUUCAUAUAUUAGAUCAUCGUUACAUAAGUAGUUUUGAACAAAGUGUGAUAUAAUCUUACGUACUGAUCCUUUGAUAUUUUUUACUUUCAUUAUCGUUACAUAAGUAGUUAUGAAGACUACAUUUUCAUCAAAUAUUCAUCUAAAACCUUAAAAUAUUAGAUAUAUAGAUUAUUUUGUUUAUAAUUUAUAUGUUGCUCAAUAUUUUUUUUUAACAAUAUUUCUUGUUAUAUAGUUUCUAACUUUAAUUAUUUUCAGCACAACAAAUAAUUGUUUAUCGGGAACGAAGUGUCAACCUCUUAAGGCAUUGUCACCAAGUAAGCAAACAUCAUCACCACCACCACCUCAACUUAUUUUAGGUGAUGAACCAGAUAUAAUUGGUUCACCACCACCACCACCUCGACUUAUUCUAGGUGAUGAACCAAAUAUAAUUGGUUCGCCGCCGCCACCACCCCAACUUAUUUUAGGAGAUGAUCCAAAUAUAAUUGAUUCACCACCUUUGCCAGAAUUUCGUUCAGGGGAUGCAUCAGUGGGAAAUGGAAGCUUGAAGAACAACAAACUAAACAUAUUAUUCAUACUAGCUGCACAAACUUUGCUACCA